UGUACGCGGAAAACAGCCCGUAAGAAAUUGCAAGACGCUAGCUUCUUUCAAUCACACACCAUUAUCUGAAAAUGAAUGGCGAUCAUUUGUAAUUACGUGGAACCCUACGACGCGCAGAAUAAUUGUUUAUGAUACUGAUAAGCUGAUUAUGGAAUAUACAGACGAGGAAAGGCAUUUACGUUCAAGCAAUGAUUAUUAUAUGUUCAUUAGAAGUGAUGCAGCGAUGUUGUUUCGAUUUCAUAUAUAUGACUUUCUGCAUACGACUAUCGAGAAUGCAGUUUUAACAAGUCCCAUCUUCCAACUUAAUAAUAAAAUGA
Wasmannia auropunctata (little fire ant) is the source of this 317-nucleotide long non-coding RNA. RefSeq lists it as uncharacterized. The transcript has 3 exons. The record is from RefSeq and is a predicted model, not a curated record. NCBI's taxonomy places the organism in Eukaryota, Metazoa, Arthropoda, Insecta, Hymenoptera, Formicidae.